GACGAACGCUGGCGGCGUGCCUAAUACAUGCAAGUCGAGCGGAGUUUAGUUGAGUACUUGUACGAGACUGAGCUUAGCGGCGGACGGGUGAGUAACGCGUGAGCGACCUGGCCUAUACAGGGGGAUAACAGAGAGAAAUUUCUGCUAAUACCGCAUAAGACCACAGUACUGCAUGGUACAGGGGUCAAAGGAGAGAUUCGGUAUAGGAUGGGCUCGCGUCCCAUUAGCUAGUUGGAGGUGUAACGGACCACCAAGGCGACGAUGGGUAGCCGACCUGAGAGGGUGACCGGCCACACUGGGACUGAGACACGGCCCAGACUCCUACGGGAGGCAGCAGUAGGGAAUAUUGGACAAUGGGGGGAACCCUGAUCCAGCAACGCCGCGUGAAGGAAGAAGGUCUUCGGAUUGUAAACUUAUGUUGUCGGGACGAAGCGAGACGGUACCGACGAGGAAGCCCCGGCUAACUACGUG
This 471-nucleotide ribosomal RNA is filed under the name uncultured bacterium. RNAcentral describes it as "bacterial SSU rRNA". It matches the Rfam family "Bacterial small subunit ribosomal RNA", at positions 28 to 507 of the family's 1533-position model. The record is from RNAcentral.